GCCCUUGUAGCUCAGUUGGUAGAGCAACGGUUUUGUAAACCGAAGGUCGCGGGUUCGAGUCCUGCCGGGGGCACCA
RNAcentral lists this transfer RNA (76 nucleotides) under Azoarcus olearius. Its description in RNAcentral is "tRNA-Thr (TGT) (tRNA-Thr-TGT-1-1)". It matches the Rfam family "tRNA". From Rfam's summary of the family: Transfer RNA (tRNA) molecules are approximately 80 nucleotides in length. Their secondary structure includes four short double-helical elements and three loops (D, anti-codon, and T loops). Further hydrogen bonds mediate the characteristic L-shaped molecular structure. tRNAs have two regions of fundamental functional importance: the anti-codon, which is responsible for specific mRNA codon recognition, and the 3' end, to which the tRNAs corresponding amino acid is attached (by aminoacyl-tRNA synthetases). tRNAs cope with the degeneracy of the genetic code in two manners: having more than one tRNA (with a specific anti-codon) for a particular amino acid; and 'wobble' base-pairing, i.e. permitting non-standard base-pairing at the 3rd anti-codon position. The record is from RNAcentral. RNAcentral also lists the same sequence under 1 other name. Lineage: Bacteria; Pseudomonadati; Pseudomonadota; Betaproteobacteria; Rhodocyclales; Zoogloeaceae.